This is a long non-coding RNA of Culex quinquefasciatus (southern house mosquito), 307 nucleotides long. RefSeq lists it as uncharacterized. The record is from RefSeq and is a predicted model, not a curated record. Lineage: Eukaryota; Metazoa; Arthropoda; Insecta; Diptera; Culicidae. The transcript is spliced from 2 exons.
GCCACCGACGCUGAUCGCAGCAAAAGUAGUGAUAACAGUAGAGGCACCAAAACCACCUCGGCAUGCUCGAGCCUGUCUGGAAGACAAUCGUUAAGUUUGUCACGAAAGCACCAUUUCCUGGUGGGCGUUUUACAAGGCCGGAAAACAACUUCUAAAUGAAAAACGACGAGAACAAAUAUCACCUGAGCAAGAAAAAAUGCACCGAUGCUCUUGCUCUCCAAACAGCUCCAUACAGUUGAGACCGUCGAAGAUGCUGUUCCACUUAUGGUUUUGUUGUGAGAUAUUCUUUCUGUAGUUUUGAAUAUCA